GGGUUGUGAGGUUAAGCGACUAAGCGUACACGGUGGAUGCCCUGGCAGUCAGAGGCGAUGAAGGACGUGCUAAUCUGCGAUAAGCGUCGGUAAGGUGAUAUGAACCGUUAUAACCGGCGAUUUCCGAAUGGGGAAACCCAGUGUGAUUCGUCACACUAUCAUUAACUGAAUCCAUAGGUUAAUGAGGCGAACCGGGGGAACUGAAACAUCUAAGUACCCCGAGGAAAAGAAAUCAACCGAGAUUCCCCCAGUAGCGGCGAGCGAACGGGGAGCAGCCCAGAGCCUGAAUCAGUGUGUGUGUUAGUGGAAGCGUCUGGAAAGGCGCGCGAUACAGGGUGACAGCCCCGUACACAAAAAUGCACAUGCUGUGAGCUCGAUGAGUAGGGCGGGACACGUGGUAUCCUGUCUGAAUAUGGGGGGACCAUCCUCCAAGGCUAAAUACUCCUGACUGACCGAUAGUGAACCAGUACCGUGAGGGAAAGGCGAAAAGAACCCCGGCGAGGGGAGUGAAAAAGAACCUGAAACCGUGUACGUACAAGCAGUGGGAGCACGCUUAGGCGUGUGACUGCGUACCUUUUGUAUAAUGGGUCAGCGACUUAUAUUCUGUAGCAAGGUUAACCGAAUAGGGGAGCCGAAGGGAAACCGAGUCUUAACUGGGCGUUAAGUUGCAGGGUAUAGACCCGAAACCCGGUGAUCUAGCCAUGGGCAGGUUGAAGGUUGGGUAACACUAACUGGAGGACCGAACCGACUAAUGUUGAAAAAUUAGCGGAUGACUUGUGGCUGGGGGUGAAAGGCCAAUCAAACCGGGAGAUAGCUGGUUCUCCCCGAAAGCUAUUUAGGUAGCGCCUCGUGAAUUCAUCUCCGGGGGUAGAGCACUGUUUCGGCAAGGGGGUCAUCCCGACUUACCAACCCGAUGCAAACUGCGAAUACCGGAGAAUGUUAUCACGGGAGACACACGGCGGGUGCUAACGUCCGUCGUGAAGAGGGAAACAACCCAGACCGCCAGCUAAGGUCCCAAAGUCAUGGUUAAGUGGGAAACGAUGUGGGAAGGCCCAGACAGCCAGGAUGUUGGCUUAGAAGCAGCCAUCAUUUAAAGAAAGCGUAAUAGCUCACUGGUCGAGUCGGCCUGCGCGGAAGAUGUAACGGGGCUAAACCAUGCACCGAAGCUGCGGCAGCGACGCUUAUGCGUUGUUGGGUAGGGGAGCGUUCUGUAAGCCUGUGAAGGUGUACUGUGAGGUAUGCUGGAGGUAUCAGAAGUGCGAAUGCUGACAUAAGUAACGAUAAAGCGGGUGAAAAGCCCGCUCGCCGGAAGACCAAGGGUUCCUGUCCAACGUUAAUCGGGGCAGGGUGAGUCGACCCCUAAGGCGAGGCCGAAAGGCGUAGUCGAUGGGAAACAGGUUAAUAUUCCUGUACUUGGUGUUACUGCGAAGGGGGGACGGAGAAGGCUAUGUUGGCCGGGCGACGGUUGUCCCGGUUUAAGCGUGUAGGCUGGUUUUCCAGGCAAAUCCGGAAAAUCAAGGCUGAGGCGUGAUGACGAGGCACUACGGUGCUGAAGCAACAAAUGCCCUGCUUCCAGGAAAAGCCUCUAAGCAUCAGGUAACAUCAAAUCGUACCCCAAACCGACACAGGUGGUCAGGUAGAGAAUACCAAGGCGCUUGAGAGAACUCGGGUGAAGGAACUAGGCAAAAUGGUGCCGUAACUUCGGGAGAAGGCACGCUGAUAUGUAGGUGAAGUCCCUCGCGGAUGGAGCUGAAAUCAGUCGAAGAUACCAGCUGGCUGCAACUGUUUAUUAAAAACACAGCACUGUGCAAACACGAAAGUGGACGUAUACGGUGUGACGCCUGCCCGGUGCCGGAAGGUUAAUUGAUGGGGUCAGCGCAAGCGAAGCUCUUGAUCGAAGCCCCGGUAAACGGCGGCCGUAACUAUAACGGUCCUAAGGUAGCGAAAUUCCUUGUCGGGUAAGUUCCGACCUGCACGAAUGGCGUAAUGAUGGCCAGGCUGUCUCCACCCGAGACUCAGUGAAAUUGAACUCGCUGUGAAGAUGCAGUGUACCCGCGGCAAGACGGAAAGACCCCGUGAACCUUUACUAUAGCUUGACACUGAACAUUGAGCCUUGAUGUGUAGGAUAGGUGGGAGGCUUUGAAGUGUGGACGCCAGUCUGCAUGGAGCCGACCUUGAAAUACCACCCUUUAAUGUUUGAUGUUCUAACGUUGACCCGUAAUCCGGGUUGCGGACAGUGUCUGGUGGGUAGUUUGACUGGGGCGGUCUCCUCCUAAAGAGUAACGGAGGAGCACGAAGGUUGGCUAAUCCUGGUCGGACAUCAGGAGGUUAGUGCAAUGGCAUAAGCCAGCUUGACUGCGAGCGUGACGGCGCGAGCAGGUGCGAAAGCAGGUCAUAGUGAUCCGGUGGUUCUGAAUGGAAGGGCCAUCGCUCAACGGAUAAAAGGUACUCCGGGGAUAACAGGCUGAUACCGCCCAAGAGUUCAUAUCGACGGCGGUGUUUGGCACCUCGAUGUCGGCUCAUCACAUCCUGGGGCUGAAGUAGGUCCCAAGGGUAUGGCUGUUCGCCAUUUAAAGUGGUACGCGAGCUGGGUUUAGAACGUCGUGAGACAGUUCGGUCCCUAUCUGCCGUGGGCGCUGGAGAACUGAGGGGGGCUGCUCCUAGUACGAGAGGACCGGAGUGGACGCAUCACUGGUGUUCGGGUUGUCAUGCCAAUGGCACUGCCCGGUAGCUAAAUGCGGAAGAGAUAAGUGCUGAAAGCAUCUAAGCACGAAACUUGCCCCGAGAUGAGUUCUCCCUGACCCUUUAAGGGUCCUGAAGGAACGUUGAAGACGACGACGUUGAUAGGCCGGGUGUGUAAGCGCAGCGAUGCGUUGAGCUAACCGGUACUAAUGAACCGUGAGGCUUAACCUUACAACGCCGAAGGUGUUU
RNAcentral lists this ribosomal RNA (2931 nucleotides) under Escherichia coli. RNAcentral describes it as "23S ribosomal RNA". It matches the Rfam family "Bacterial large subunit ribosomal RNA". The record is from RNAcentral. Lineage: Bacteria; Pseudomonadati; Pseudomonadota; Gammaproteobacteria; Enterobacterales; Enterobacteriaceae.